Molecule: small nuclear RNA, 136 nt
Organism: Toxorhynchites rutilus septentrionalis
Lineage: Eukaryota; Metazoa; Arthropoda; Insecta; Diptera; Culicidae
Product: U4 spliceosomal RNA
Exons: 1
Source: RefSeq, a predicted model, not a curated record
AGCUUUGCGCAGUGGCGAUAUCGUAACCAAUGAGGUUUUACCGAGGUGCGAUUAUUACUAGUUAAAAAAAAUAUCCUAUUUAAUAGUGUUUCAUGUUUUCUACAAGGAAUUUGGAAAAGUUUUUUUUUUCUGAUAA